This 266-nucleotide ribosomal RNA is filed under the name uncultured prokaryote. RNAcentral describes it as "partial 16S ribosomal RNA". It matches the Rfam family "Bacterial small subunit ribosomal RNA", at positions 524 to 789 of the family's 1533-position model. The record is from RNAcentral.
UACGUAGGUGGCAAGCGUUGUCCGGAUUUAUUGGGCGUAAAGGGAGCGCAGGCGGUGACUUAAGUCUGAUGUGAAAGCCCACGGCUCAACCGUGGAAGGUCAUUGGAAACUGGGUCACUUGAAUAUAGAAGAGGAAAGUGGAAUUCCAUGUGUAGCGGUGAAAUGCGUAGAGAUAUGGAGGAACACCAGUGGCGAAGGCGGCUUCCUGGUCUGUAACUGACACUGAGGCGCGAAAGCGUGGGGAGCAAACAGGAUUAGAUACCCGU